GUCUAUGGCCAUGCCACCCUAAACAAGCCCAAUGCCAUCUGAUCUUGGAAGCUAAGCAGGGUCUAAGCAGGGUUGGGUCUGGUUAGCACUUGGAUGGGAGACCACCUAGGAAGACCAGGUGUUGUAGGUG
This is a ribosomal RNA of Pteropus vampyrus (large flying fox), 130 nucleotides long. Lineage: Eukaryota; Metazoa; Chordata; Mammalia; Chiroptera; Pteropodidae. The record is from Ensembl.